AAAAUAGAUACCCCCGGUAGUCCACGCCGUAAACGAUGAGUGCUAAGUGUUAGAGGGUUUCCGCCCUUUAGUGCUGCAGCAAACGCAUUAAGCACUCCGCCUGGGGAGUACGGUCGCAAGACUGAAACUCAAAGGAAUUGACGGGGGCCCGCACAAGCGGUGGAGCAUGUGGUUUAAUUCGAAGCAACGCGAAGAACCUUACCAGGUCUUGACAUCCUUCGCUACUUCUAGAGAUAGAAGGUUCCCCUUCGGGGGACGAAGUGACAGGUGGUGCAUGGUUGUCGUCAGCUCGUGUCGUGAGAUGUUGGGUUAAGUCCCGCAACGAGCGCAACCCUUGAUCUUAGUUGCCAGCAUUCAGUUGGGCACUCUAAGGUGACUGCCGGUGACAAACCGGAGGAAGGUGGGGAUGACGUCAAAUCAUCAUGCCCCUUAUGACCCGGGCUACACACGUGCUACAAUGGAUGGUACAAAGGGCUGCAAGACUGCGAAGUCAAGCGAAUCCCAUAAAACCAUUCUCAGUUCGGAUUGCAGG
Molecule: ribosomal RNA, 532 nt
Filed under: uncultured bacterium
Lineage: Bacteria
Description: bacterial SSU rRNA
Rfam family: Bacterial small subunit ribosomal RNA
Source: RNAcentral